Long non-coding RNA from Canis lupus familiaris (dog), 2235 nucleotides. RefSeq lists it as uncharacterized. Lineage: Eukaryota; Metazoa; Chordata; Mammalia; Carnivora; Canidae. The record is from RefSeq and is a predicted model, not a curated record. The transcript is spliced from 5 exons.
GAGGGCGGGGCCAGUGCGAGCGGACGCAGCACGUCCUUCCGCCAGGCCGCGGCGCUUCCGGUCUGUCCUAGUCCUCGAAGAGUCCGCGCAGGUGCGCCGGGCGGCGUGCGUUCUGCGGGUCCUUCGGCGCCUUGCAGGUUACCGCCGAGAGGAAUAAGCGUCGUCAGCGCCGAGAUGUUUCCUUCCCAGCCUUGGAAGGGCUUCUUCUGUCACAAAAAGCUUUUUCAGGGGCGCCUGGGAAGUCAGGGUGAAGGGCUGCCUUCCGCUCAGAGCUCUAGCAGCACAGUGAGAGGAGCAAAAAGAGAGGGAGAAGCAGGCUCUCCACUGAGCGGGGAGCCCAUCCCAGGACCCCAGGAGCUCACAAAGACAGAUGCUUCACCGGUUGAGCCACCAGGAGAUGCCCUGCACUUAGGGACAAAAUCCUGUCGAAAGAAAGAAGCACCAAUGAGGUUUCCCUCUGUGACUCUGGAUGUAAAUUUGGAUCCCAUGCUUUCCCAUUGCCUGGACACGCUAUCCCUUGGACCCUGAAGACUCAACCCGAGGCUUCUCUACUGAAGCAGGACAACCACUGAUCCUGUCCUGUUGGACCAACUGUUCUUUACAUGUAGUACCAAUAUGCUGGUAUCACGAUGAAGAUGAGAUUUACUUCCAAAACAUGUAUCAGACAUUUUCAUAACCACAAUGACCAAAUUUGUCGAGAUGUUUCUCAAGUUCUCUGGGCCACGGCACAGCUCCCCUGCAGGUACAGCUGUCCCCUCGUGGGCGGACCGUAAACCCCUGCCCCUGCUCAUCUGUCACCCCACCACCACAUGCCUAUGUGCGACGAUGAUGAAUGAGUAAACUAUUUCUCAACUAAGUCUAUACAAUGGAGAGAAAAACUAUGCAAAUUUCUUUUCUGCAAGGACACUCUUAAUAGAGAAUGAGAUAUACUAGUGUCACUGUUGGAAGGGAAAGGAUUUCCUGAUCAAUCCCGGACUACACAGAAGUAUCCCUGAGUCCUGAGAAUUAAGUAGAGCCUAGAUCCUAACAUUGCCUGGAUACACGGAGAAGUCUCAGGCCAAGAGAAGCCUUCCCGUCCACUGGCAACAGAGGUAUUAUAUCCACAGAAAGAUCACAUCUCUACUCACCUGCAGUUGCAUUCUCAGGAAUUCAGCCACCACCUCGCCUCCUCUGGAUCUCCCCACUCACGGACAGUCCAAGAAGUUAGGAGGAAAAGCUGGGCAAGGAGAGAGAAGCCAAGAGACUCCAGUCUUACCAGAGACCCUGACCACAAAAUCCCGAUGCACCUGCAUGCAACCCCCCAACCCCCUUUCAGGAACACGCCAUGGCCCUCAGACAAGUGGGAAAACUCUCACAUCUGCAUGGAUCUCAAGUGAGAAGGCUUUGACUACCAAUGCUAGUAAAUAAAAUACGAACAUUCCUUUCUAUUUUCACACAAGGAAAUGAAAAUCAUUGAAUUUAUAAGUUACCCAGAAACUUUUUUGUAGGGUUAUUUAAUUCCUUCCCUGAACUGCAAACCUAAAAGUCCCUGCUUAGAAAAUGUAGAAUGCAGGGGACUCACAGGGAAAUAUAUUUGUUCAAUCUAACAUUUAGUAAAGUUAUAACUAGAAUACCAUCCUACACUAAUCAUCAGCACAAACAACACCCCAGCAUUUCAUAAAUCUGUAUUUUAAAGUUCUGGUAAACUUUAUGGGGGUGCCUUGGUGGCUCAGUCCGUAAAGUUUCUGAUUUUGGCUCAGGUCAUGAUCUCCUGAGUCCAGCCCUGCGUGGGGUUCAGCAGAGUCUGUUUCUCUCUUUUCCUCUUCCUCACCCACCUCCAUCUGCACUCUCUUCCAAAAAAAUAUAAUCUUUAAAAUAAAUAAAUAAGGAUGCCUGUGUGGCUCAGCAGUUAAGCGUCUGCCUUUGGCUCAGGGCAUGAUCCUGGGGUCCUGGGAUAAAAUAGUCCCUUUAUUAAUUUCACUGCAAGUCACCCACUUGGAAGGCCAUCUGUUUGCUAAUGAAGCCCUGGCCCAUCGGCACCCUCAGGAGGCAGACACGCUUGGGUUCUUCACAGACGGUCACUGUCAUUUACUACAGGGGGACCCUGGACAAGUGAUUUAGUCUCUUUAAAACAGUUUCUUGGGGGGCACCUGGUGGUUCAGUGGUUGAGCAUCUGCCUUUGGCUCAGGUUGUGAUCCAGCGGGGGUCCUAAGACCGAGUCCUGCAUGGGGCUCCCCACGGGGAGCCUGCUUCUCC